This 5301-nucleotide long non-coding RNA is filed under the name Homo sapiens (human). Its description in RNAcentral is "HSALNT0323552". The record is from RNAcentral. Lineage: Eukaryota; Metazoa; Chordata; Mammalia; Primates; Hominidae.
AAAAACUUUUUUUAUCAGUCAGAGGAUAAUGCAAGUGUUUAACAGAUGCUUCACUAUUAAAAUAUUUUCCCCCCAAGUCUCAAAUAUUGAAGAAUCUCUAACCAGGGACACCAGUCCCUACGAAGACCUUGGGCGAUUUUGAAGUGCGGGCACCUCGAUUCCCCGAAUCUGUAGUGUGGCUGGUAUCGGUGUUCCCCUGGUUUAACUAGCCUGUUUGAUGGGGAAAUUGAGGCAGAGAAGCCAAGACAUGUGCUAAAGGUCAUGCAGGCUAUGAAUGGAGCUGGAAUGUGAACGCAGGCCAUAUGACCCCAGAGCCCAUGUUCUUGAACCCUUAGAAAGACAGCAGCAACACACCUGGUGCAGCAGCUGCUUAGUUGGAGUGGCUGACAAGGUUGGCAGAGGAUCCCGUUCCUCCCGUGGAGUGGCUGCCAUGAUACUGCCUGCACUGAAGCUGCUCCUAUUUCUGAAAUAUGUAUUGUUAUUUUUUUCCCUGCAUGUUGAACAUUAUACUCUUCUGUUCUUUCGCAUUCUCUUCUUCCCUUCCGGAUGACUUCUAGGGUUUUUGUGAUUCUGUAAUUCUAAAGGAGAAAGGAUAAUAAGAAUUGUGAGGCCGGGCGCGGUGGCUCAUGCCUGUAAUCACAGCACUUUGGGAGGCCAAGGUGGGCGGAUCACUAGGAGAGAAUGAUUUCCAGGAAGAGCGGAACACAUAUGGAAGGCCUUAGCUUAUCUUUAGCGCCUCAUACACCCGUUCUGGACUUCAGAAAGGCCAGUGAGUGGGAUUAGGCCUCAGAGAUAGGAUGUCAGUCCCAGUGAGGGAUGGCCUAGAGCAUUCUUUAAUUCUUUCCUUUGGGUCACACAUAAGAAACAAUUUUCCAGCACUGAUGAGUGUUAUUAACAAUGAGAUGGGAUAGAAUUUAGUUUUCCCUAUGGCUGUGCUUCAAAAAUAGAAAAGCUGUCUUUUCUCUGGAAUGAUUGAAUGAAGCUCUGGGGAGGAAAAGGUGGAUUGGCAGAUCUCUUAAAGGAAGCUUCUCCUUCUAGGCACUAUUCUAAGGCUUAAUAUUUUAACUCCCUAUAUUAACCUAGUUCAACUAAACAGUGAUCUGAGUAAUUUUAUUUUUAUUAAAGCUCAGAUCAAAAUGCCAUUAACAUUGAUUGAGAAAAUCAAAGGAAUCUUUGAUGUGAGUGGUUAAAUUGCUGAAUUAUUUCAGUCCCAUACCCUCACAGCAUGAGUACCUGAUCUGAUAGACUUCUUUGGAAUUCCUUUUUUGUUUGAGACAGAGUCUUGCUCUGUCGCCCAGGCUGGAGUGCAGCGGUGUGAUCUCAACCAUUGCAACCUCCACCUCCCAGGUUCAAGUGAUUCUCAUGCCUCAGCCUCCUGAGUAGCUGGGAUUACAGAUGUGCACCACCAUGCCCGGCUAAUUAUUUUGUAUCUUUAGUAGAGAUGAAGUUUUGCCAUGUGGGCCAGGCUGUUCUCAAACUACUGGCCUCAAGUGAUCUGCCCGCCUCGGCCUCCCAGACUGCUGGGAUUACAGGCGUGAGGCACCGUGCCUGGCUGGGAUUCCAUAAUAAAUCCCUCUGUGUCUAUUUCUUUUUUCAAAUAUAAUUUUCUUCAUUUCCAAACAUCAUCUUUAAGACUCCAAGGAUUUUUCCAGGCACAGUGGCUCAUACCUGUAAUCCCAUUGCUUGGAGAGGCCAAGGUGGAAGUUCAUUUGAGGCCAGGAGUUCGAGACCAGGUGGGCAACAUAGUGAAACCUUGUCUCUACAACAUAAAAAAAAAAAUAAAACCCUAAGGAAAUAAUGGUGCCUCACUACCUUUCAAAGCUUUUGACCUUCAAGUCAGAAAAUAAAUUAUUUUUAGGAAAGGCAUCUCAACCUUAUUUACAAAUGAACUAUUUGUCAAGAGCAACCUCUAUAAGGAUAAUAGGACUUCCUGGUUUGAAAUGCAGCAUGAACAAUUCUCAGAGGCUCCUGGAAGACUAAGAAUGAGGUUUCUUGAUCCGCCUUCCCUCGGCAUCUUCUCACUCUCUUCCCUCCUUCUCAGAAGCUGUGUGCAGCAAUGGGCUAUGCAACUGGUUUCACUGGUGCCUGGUAGAACUUUUAAUUCCUCCCUGUCAGCACAUCCCUAGUCCACUUUCAUAGUUUGGAUAAGGACUGGAUAAGCAGCUGAACUUCUGGGGACUUUUCCAAAUGAAAUUCAACCUUUAGACCUUUGGAGGUUUACCCAGUCUUCCUCACUACCCGAAGAUGAGUUUGGAACAAAUUUUCUCUUAAUGGAUUCUAUUUGUGGGUAGGAGAGGUAAUGACUGCCUUGCUCAGAGUCAUGAGCAUAACUUCAAAUAAGGAAAAAGAGCCUCGCAGGAAUGUGAGAAUAGAUGCGAUCCUGAGGAAGGUGUGUCUGAGGAGGUGCUGGGAGGUUCUGAUCGGCUGUUGAAGGCAGAUACUGUAUCUCACGUGACAGAAGUCACCUCCUGACAUCAGAGUUGUGUUUGAGUGGUAAUUUAAAAAAUAAUAUAGCUGACAAGGAAAUGUGGAAGGCAUUACGUUGCAAUACAGUGAAAUGAACAUACAACAUUCAAGAUCAAUUACCGGGUACUGAUUAGCUGGGAGAAAGGCAAUAAAACUUUAAAAAUAGAAUUGGUAGAAAUAGCACCCUGUCAAGGUGGGACUGACUAUGCCUCCUGCUGGUUUGUUGCGAGGAAUUCUUUUUUUGGGAAAAUCCUGUUGAAUUGUGUGGCUUGUGAAUCUGGCUCUAGAACUGUUAAUGUUAUAAGAAUUGAAAGAGGACUAUUUAAAAAUACCAAGACAUCUUUUAAAAUUCCUAUUUUUAGAACAGCUACUUGUCAUUAAAAUAAAUCAUUCCAUUUCUAUUUGUCCAGGUUACUGCUUUCACAGCAGGGCCAGGGCUAUGGUGAAGUGUGGGAGGUGCCCAGUCCCCUUCACUGCAGUCAUGGCUCUGUUUCAUGCCACAUGUGUUAUUUUAUAAGUGGUUAAGCCCCACAUAGGCAUGCAAACAUGGUACAUCUCUAUGUAUUGGUUUUGGUAAUGUUGUAAAUAAUUGGGAGAAUACAUUAAAAUUUGGUAAUAGUGCUCCUUUGGACUCAGUCUCUUUUUUUUUUUUUAAGACAGAGUUUCGCUCUUGUUGCCCAGGCUGGAGUGCAAUGGCAUGAUCUUGGCUCAUUGCAACCUCUGCCUCCUGGGUUCAAGCAAGUCUCCUGCCUCAGCCUUCCUGAGUAGCUAGGAUUACAGGCAUGUGCCACUAUGCCCGGCUAAUUUUGUAUUUUUAGUAGAAAAGGGGUUUCUCCAUGUUGGUCAGGCUGGUCUUGAAUUCCCGACCUCAGGUGAUUCCAGUUCUAAUUCCCCAACAGAGUUGUCUUGGUUGCAGUGAGAUAUAUAUAUAUAUAUAUAUAUAUAUAUAUAUAUAUAUAUAUAUAUAUAUAUAUUUUGAGAUGGGGUCUCGCUCUGUCGCCCAGUCUGGAGAGCAGUGGCGCGAUCUUGGCUUGCAGUGAGACAUUUUUAUCCAUCCUGAUCACAGCACUUGCCUCCGGGCUCAUGAAGCCCAGCAUGUUACUGCUGUUCUGAACGUCUCUGCUUUUUGAGAGACAUGUUUAAUGAAUUGGGAGUAUCUGUGCACAUUGCAUUCACUUAAAAAGGGAAAAAUACCUUUUAACAGUUAUAGCUACAGAAAUUCAAUUUAGUUUAUUUAGGAGGAAAUGAGAGACUUGAAUUGUAGGUGUGAAAUCUUACAAUCUUUCAGAAUGAUUUGGUUUGGGGGAUGGUUGGAACUGCAUGGAAUUCCUUCAGCCAAAAUAAUUUUUGUGAGCACAUUCCCAAGCUCACGAUCAUGUUUUGAUAAGAAAAAUCCCUUUCUCCACAAGUUCUCAGGUCCCACUCAUUGGCCCCUGCCCUCAUUUCUGGAACCUAUGUUAGGCAGUUAUGUGGCUCAGUUCUUGGUGAUAUGUUUUCAAUUUGAGUCAACUUGAUGAGAGAAAAAUUACUAAAAAGUGGGAAUGAGCUGUGAGGUGAACAGGGUUUUCCUAUCAAAGUGGAGGUAUUUUUAAAAGCAUUUAUUAUUUCAAACUCAAACAUUUAUAGAAAGCCAUGAGUGUGAAGUGUAUGAUUACCAGUUGUGGCUUGCUGCAUUGAAAAAUUCAAGUUCAUAGGAAAUAUUUACUGAGGCUCUGGUUUGCAAGCAGUUUGUUCAAGAGAACAAUUUGGUCCAGAAGGCAUGUCAGCCAAAAAAGAGUUUACUAAUAUAGUAGUAACAGGCAAUUAGGAUUCAUAAGCAUCGCCAUGGCUGAGACAUGAUUUAAGGUCUUAGAUGGAAAGAGUUCUGUUAUUAAGAUAACAGAAUUUAAAUGCUGUAUCUGUCUAGGUCUUAUGCAUGUCAGAAGUGAGAAAACUACUUCUUCAUUUUCCAUUUUUAUGAGCUCUGAUGUAACACAGUUUUUUUUUUUUUCUGUGUUGAAAAUGAUGAAUAUAGUUCUUGGCACAUUUGUUCCAUAGUAAAGAAGAAUUUAACUUGCAAGUGAAAAACCUCUGCCUUUGGCCAUGGAUUAAAAAGAUGUUAUAUGAUGAAGUUUACUUCCUAAGGAAAGGUUAGUUUUGUGUGGCACUUUCUGAAAAUUUGUUUGGGACAUAUACAAUUCUUUUGUAUAAAUUCUGGAGGUCUGAGGAAAAUUACUUAAUCACAUUAGAUGAGAACAUUUCUUUUUGUGUGAAUUGAGUUCUUAUCAAGGUUCUGAUGUUUUUUCUCAUGUAUUUGCCCUUGGGUUCAUCUCAAUACAAUGCAUUUGUGUACUAUUGAAUAAAAAGCAGGCUGCAACAGUAUUUAUGACAUAUGAUCCUAUAUACACGUAAAAUCUUGUGUGUGUGUUUGUGUGUGCACAUGCAUAUAAAAAAAACUACAUUGUUAAAGUUGUUAAUAGUUAACUCCCGGUGGUGGGUUUUAAGUGAUUAUUAUUUUCUUUGUAUAAGAAAAAUAGUGCACAGUUUUCUUUUGUUGUUACGAAAGGUGUCAUACAUUUGAAAGAGGACAUAUGCACAGUUUAAAUAAUAAUAACAUAGUGAAUACCCACUGCUUGGCUGAAAAAAAUAAUUUAUUACUCUGUUGCAGAAGGCAAGCCUUCCUUCUGCCCCUGCCUCUGUCAUGGAGGUAGCUACUUGCUUGAAUUUUGUGCUAAUCAUGUCUUUGCUUUCUUAUAUAGUUUAGCCAGCUGUGAAUGUCUCCAUAAAACAUACACAGUUUUAUUUUGAUUGUUUUUGAACUUUAAAUAAAUGAAAUCAUACUGGAUAUAUUCUUCU